GACGAACGCUGGCGGCGUGCCUAAUACAUGCAAGUAGAACGCACAGUUUAUACCGUAGCUUGCUACACCAUAGACUGUGAGUUGCGAACGGGUGAGUAACGCGUAGGUAACCUGCCUGGUAGCGGGGGAUAACUAUUGGAAACGAUAGCUAAUACCGCAUAAUAUUAAUUAUUGCAUGAUAAUUAAUUGAAAGGUGCAAUUGCACCACUACCAGAUGGACCUGCGUUGUAUUAGCUAGUAGGUGAGGUAACGGCUCACCUAGGCGACGAUACAUAGCCGACCGGAUAGGGUGAUCGGCCACACUGGGACUGAGACACGGCCCAGACUCCUACGGGAGGCAGCAGUAGGGAAUCUUCGGCAAUAGACGAAAGGCUGACCGAGCAACGCCGCGGGAGUGAAGAAGGUUGUCGGAUCGGAAAGCUCUGUUGUAAGAGAAGAACGGGUGUGAGAGUGGAAAGUUCACACUGUGACGGUAUCUUACCAGAAAGGGACGGUUAACUACGUG
RNAcentral lists this ribosomal RNA (505 nucleotides) under uncultured bacterium. RNAcentral describes it as "partial 16S ribosomal RNA". It matches the Rfam family "Bacterial small subunit ribosomal RNA", at positions 28 to 507 of the family's 1533-position model. The record is from RNAcentral.